This 279-nucleotide ribosomal RNA is filed under the name Clostridioides difficile. RNAcentral describes it as "partial 23S ribosomal RNA". It matches the Rfam family "Bacterial large subunit ribosomal RNA", at positions 1319 to 1593 of the family's 2925-position model. Lineage: Bacteria; Bacillati; Bacillota; Clostridia; Peptostreptococcales; Peptostreptococcaceae. The record is from RNAcentral.
GGGUGAGAAUCCCACAGGCCGUAAACCCAAGGUUUCCAGGGGAAGGUUCGUCCGCCCUGGGUUAGUCGGGACCUAAGCUGAGGCCGAAAGGCGUAGGGGAUGGACAACAGGUUGAUAUUCCUGUACUACCGAUAACCGUUUGAGAGAAGGGAUGACACAGUAGGAUAAGCUAAGCACACUGUUGGUUAUGUGUGCCCAAGCAUUGAGGCAGUCAAAGUAGGCAAAUCCGCUUUGAUAAUGCUGGGAUGUGAUGGGGAGCGAAAUUUAGUAGCGAAGUAG